This 908-nucleotide long non-coding RNA is filed under the name Homo sapiens (human). RNAcentral describes it as "non-protein coding lnc-VSIG4-2:1". Lineage: Eukaryota; Metazoa; Chordata; Mammalia; Primates; Hominidae. The record is from RNAcentral.
AUGGGUGAAGCAGAUCGCCUAGGAAAGUUUUUCAUUGGUGGGCUUAAUACGGAAACAAAUAAGAAAGCUCUUGAAGCAGUAUUUGGCAAAUAUGGACAAAUAGUGGAAGUACACUUGAUGAAAGACUGUGAAACCAACAAAUCAAGAGGAUUUGCUUUUAUCACCUUUGAAAGACCAGCAGACGCUAAGGAUGCAGCCAGAGACAUGAAUGGAAAGUCAUUAGAUGGAAAAGCCAUCAAGGUGGAACAAGCCACCAAACCGUCAUUUGAAAGUGGUAGACGUGGACCGCCUCCACCUCCAAGAAGUAGAGGCCCUCCAAGAGUUCUUAGAGGUGGAAGAGGAGGAAGUGGAGGAACCAGGGAACCUCCCUCACGGGGAGGACACAUGGAUGACUGGUGGAUAUUCCAUGAAUUUUAACAUGAGUUCUUCCAGGGGACCACUCCCAGUAAAAAGAGGACCACCACCAAGAAGUGGGGGUCUUCCUCCUAAGAGAUCUGCACCUUCAGGACCAGUUCGCAGUAGCAGUGGAAUGGGAGGAAGAGCUCCUGUAUCACGUGGAAGAGAUAGUUACCGAGGUCCACCUCGAAGGGAAUCGCUGCCCUCUUGUAGAGAGCUCCACCUACACGAGGGCGCCCCCAUCUUAUGGUGGAAGCAGUCGCUAUGAUGAUUACAGCAGCUCACGUGACGGAUAUGGUGGAAGUCGAGACAGUUACUCAAGCAGUCGAAGUGAUCUCUACUCAAGUGGUCGUGAUCAGGUUGGCAGACAAGAAAGAGGGCUUCCCCCUUCUAUGGAAAGGGGGUACCCUCCUCCACGUGAUUCCUACAGCAGUUCAAGCCGUGGAACACCAAGAGGUGGUGGCCGUGGAGGAAGCCGAUCUGAUAGAGGGGGAGGCAGAAGCAGAUACUAG